Molecule: ribosomal RNA, 455 nt
Filed under: Cyclosa argenteoalba
Lineage: Eukaryota; Metazoa; Arthropoda; Arachnida; Araneae; Araneidae
Description: partial 16S ribosomal RNA
Rfam family: Bacterial large subunit ribosomal RNA
Source: RNAcentral
CNNAUUGUAGUAUCCUGCUCAUGAAUAUUUAAAUAGCCGCGGAAUUUUAACUGUGCUAAGGUAGCAUAAUCAUUAGCCCCUUAAUUAGGGGCUUGUAUGAAAGGUAAAACAUUUUAAUCUCUUUCUUUGUUCUUAGAUUUUAAGUUAAAUUAAGAAUUAAAAUGUUCUUAUUUUUAAAAUAGACGAUAAGACCCUUUUGAACUUUACUGAUGUUUAGCUGGGGCAGCUAAUUAAUAAUAAUCUUAAUUUAUAUAUUUUAUUAGAUGACCCAAAAUAUUUGAUUACUAGAUCAAGUUACCAUAGGGAUAACAGCGUAAUUUCUUUUUAAAGCUCUUAUUAAAAAAGAAGAUUGCGACCUCGAUGUUGAAUUAAUGUUUCUUUAUAGUGCAAUAACCUUAAAAGUAGGUCUGUUCGACCUAUAAAACAUUACAUGAUCUGAGUCAAAAACCCGGAGA